GGAGAGGUUGCCGAGUUGGCUUAAGGCGCCGCUCUCGAAAAGCGGUUCUCCCGCAAGGAGACGUGGGUUCGAAUCCCACCCUCUCCGCCA
Molecule: transfer RNA, 90 nt
Filed under: Deltaproteobacteria bacterium RBG_16_49_23
Lineage: Bacteria; Deltaproteobacteria
Description: tRNA-Ser
Rfam family: tRNA
About the family: Transfer RNA (tRNA) molecules are approximately 80 nucleotides in length. Their secondary structure includes four short double-helical elements and three loops (D, anti-codon, and T loops).
Source: RNAcentral